RNAcentral lists this ribosomal RNA (505 nucleotides) under uncultured bacterium. RNAcentral describes it as "partial 16S ribosomal RNA". It matches the Rfam family "Bacterial small subunit ribosomal RNA", at positions 28 to 507 of the family's 1533-position model. The record is from RNAcentral.
GACGAACGCUGGCGGCGUGCCUAAUACAUGCAAGUAGAACGCACAGUUUAUACCGUAGCUUGCUACACCAUAGACUGUGAGUUGCGAACGGGUGAGUAACACGUAGGUAACCUGCCUGGUAGCGGGGGAUAACUAUUGGAAACGAUAGCUAAUACCGCAUAAUAUUAAUUAUUGCAUGAUAAUUAAUUGAAAGGUGCAAUUGCACCACUACCAGAUGGACCUGCGUUGUAUUAGCUAGUAGGUGAGGUAACGGCUCACCUAGGCGACGAUACAUAGCCGACCUGAGAGGGUGAUCGGCCACACUGGGACUGAGACACGGCCCAGACUCCUACGGGAGGCAGCAGUAGGGAAUCUUCGGCAAUGGACGAAAGUCUGACCGAGCAACGCCGCGUGAGUGAAGAAGGUUUUCGGAUCGUAAAGCUCUGUUGUAAGAGAAGAACGGGUGUGAGAGUGGAAAGUUCACACUGUGACGGUAUCUUACCAGAAAGGGACGGCUAACUACGUG